RNAcentral lists this long non-coding RNA (229 nucleotides) under Nicotiana benthamiana. RNAcentral describes it as "long non-coding RNA (NBEN_LNC001487)". The record is from RNAcentral. Lineage: Eukaryota; Viridiplantae; Streptophyta; Magnoliopsida; Solanales; Solanaceae.
UACUAUUUGUUGUCACUUUUUUUGCCUUUUUUUUUAAGAAAAAAAUUAUUACAUAGGGGCAGGGGAAGGGGAAAUGGGGGAGGGGAUAAAAAGGUGGGGAAUUGAACCCUCACCACCAGGUGAAAAUUCAGGCAAUCAACUGAGCUACUAAGAUUCCGUGUGCUUACUUCACUUACACCAUACUUUUCCAGUAGGUACUGAUAUUCCAUUUGUUAUUGUCAUGUCAUCA